ACGCUCAGUGGAAAGGAUGUGGGAUUACACAGACAGUGAGGAUGUUGGCUUAGAAGCAGCCACCAUUUAAAAAAUGCGUAAUAGCUUACUCAUCGAGUGAUCCUGCGCCGAAAAUGAUUGGCGAUCAAGCGUUAUACCGAAGCUCUGGACUUUGCCGCAAGGCAGAGUGGUAGAAGAGCGUUGCAUGCGCGUCGAAGGGCGAUGGCGACUGACCCUGGAGCACAUGCAAGUGAGUAUGCAGACAUGAGUAACGUUAAGCCGGGUGAAAUCCCCGGCCGCCGUAAACCCGAGGUUUCCAGGGCAACGUGUUUCGUCCCUGGGUUAGCCGGGACCUAAGCCGAGGCCGAGAGGCGUAGGCGAUGGACAUCAGGUUAAUAAUCCUGAGCUCGCAACCCUUAAACUGGGGGGACGCAUGAGAAAAGAUGACUAGGUUAUUGAAUUCCGAGUUGAGUCCACGGACUCAGCGCAUCAUUGGAUCGAGUGCCAAGAAAAGCCCCAGCGUAUGCUAAGCGACCCGUACCGCAAACCGACACAGGUGGGUGGGUAGAAUAUACCAAGGCGUAAGAGUGAAACCUGGUUAAGGAACUCGGCAAAUUAGCCCCGUAACUUCGGAAGAAGGGGUGCCUGCAGCGAUGCAGGCCGCAGAGAAAUGGCCCAACCGACUGUUUAUCAAAAACACAGCACUCUGCAAAGACGCAAGUCGAAGUAUAGGGUGUGACACGUGACCAAUGCCGAAAGAUUAAGGCAAGGGGUUAGCCGCAAGGCGAAGCUCUAAACCCAAGUCCCGGUGAAUGUCGGCCGUAACUAUAACGGUCCUAAGGUAGCGAAAUUCCUUGUCGGGUAAGUUCCGACCUGCACGAAUCGUGAAACGAGUUGGGCACUGUCUCAACCAGGCGCUCAGUGAAAUUGUAGUGGCGGUGAAGAUGCCGCCUACCCGCAGAAGGACGGAAAGACCCUAUAGACCUUAACUGUAAGCUGUCAUUGUUUCUUCGGUUUUAAUGCUCAGAGUAAGUGGGAGACGCUGAAGACGCCCUUUAGGGGGCGUCCGAGUCAUCAAUGAGACACCACCCUUUGAAACUGGAGGAUCUAACCCUGAGCCGUGAAUCCGGCCAGAGGACCGUGUCAGCCGGUCAGUUUUACUGGGGCGGUAUCCUCCCAAAGAGUAACGGAGGAGCGCGAAGGUGGGCUCAGCCCGGUUGGCAACCGGGUGUCGAGUGCAUGGGCAUAAGCCCGCCUAACUGUGAGACCAACAAGUCGAGCAGAUGCGAAAGCAGGCCCAAGUGAUCCGGCGGUAGAAAGUGGAAUUGCCGUCGCUCAACGGAUAAAAGGUACCUUAGGGAUAACAGGCUGAUCACGCCCAAGAGUUCAUAUCGACGGCGUGGUUUGGCACCUCGAUGUCGGCUCGUCGCAUCCUGGGGCUGGAGAAGGUCCCAAGGGUCCGGCUGUUCGCCGGUUAAAGCGGCACGCGAGCUGGGUUCAGAACGUCGCGAGACAGUUCGGUCCUCUAUCCUCUGUGGGCGUUGGAAAAUUGAGGGGUUCAGACCUUAGUACGAGAGGACCGGGUCUGACGCACCACUGGUGCAUCGGUUGUACUGUCAAGUGCAUGGCCGAGUAGCUAAGUGCGGACGGGAUAAGCGCUGAAAGCAUCUAAGCGCCAAGCCCUUCCCAAGAUGAGUUUUCCCUACAGGUUCGUGGAAGACCACCACGUUGAUAGGUCGCAGGUGUAAGUGCAGCAAUGUAUUGAGCCGAGCGAUACUAAUUACCAAUUGACUUCAUC
RNAcentral lists this ribosomal RNA (1777 nucleotides) under human gut metagenome. RNAcentral describes it as "bacterial LSU rRNA". It matches the Rfam family "Bacterial large subunit ribosomal RNA", at positions 1056 to 2925 of the family's 2925-position model. The record is from RNAcentral.